Molecule: ribosomal RNA, 1452 nt
Filed under: Triticum aestivum (bread wheat)
Lineage: Eukaryota; Viridiplantae; Streptophyta; Magnoliopsida; Poales; Poaceae
Description: partial small subunit ribosomal RNA
Source: RNAcentral
AUGAAGCCCGAAGCCCGAAAGCCCGGCACGAACGCUAUUUUUCAGUUGAAGCCCAAGCCCGGCCCGAACUAUCUUUCGGGCUGCAAAACAAGGUCCGAACCCGGCCCGAAUGUCAAGCCCGGCCCGGGUUUUUUGGGCCGGGCUCGGGCCGGAUCGUCGGGCCGGGCUGUCCAUGACCGGGUUUACUCCAGACCGAUGGACACGCCUGCUCGCCGCUCCUCGGGGCCAGCCCCUCCCGCCGCGCCGGAUCACGCAUCGGCUUGGGGACCCCUCAGGGAUGCCGCCCCACACCCAUCUGAUGCCAGCACCCCUCCCGCCAUGCUGCCCUUCUGCUCCGCCGCGCCCACCCCAUGCUCCCCCCUCUGCCCAGUGACCGCCGGCGCGUGGGCGCUGCGGAGGGUCGAGGCCGGCGCGCUCAGGUCCUUCCCCGCCGACCCGCUCGUCACGCAGGCGGUGCCCGACCGCUCGCUCUUCUCCGACUCCGCCAUCUUCUCCCCUACGCCGGCGCGCCCGACGACAUCGUGCCGGGGUUGCCUCGGCCGCCGAGCUGCCCGACCCUCUCUGGCGCGCCGGGGUCGACCCGCCGUUGAUGCCCGUCUCCGCCGUCGACCUGGCCGCGGACGCUGUGGUCGGUGCGGUCACCGACGAUGCCGCGCAGCAGGCCUGAUGGACGCGGAGAUGCCCACCACAUUCCCGGCCGACGCGACCGGCGUCGAGGAGUCCGUGGCCAGGUUCAUCGACAAGCUCAGCAAGCAGAUAUUCCAGGCGGAGGACGCUCUCACCGAAGGCUACGACAAGCUCAGGCUGUCGGCGUACGACGCUCUCGGGGCCUACAGGAAGGCGAUAAGGGGAGUCGCUGGUAGCCUCACGUCCUCGGUGGCAGCCACCAAGAAGCAGGCCGCUGGUGGGGUCCCGGACGUUUCCGGUGGAUUUCAGGAUAAGGUGGCCGGAGCUGCCACGUCGUCCCUCGUAUACUACUAUGGCUCGGCCAAGUCGUCGUUGCCACCAAAUGUUAAAGAUUUGCUGAACUCAUCCGAGGAGAAAGCUAACAUAGUAUUGCCACCAAUUGGAAGUGCCCUCCAACAGGUAUACAUUAUCAUAGAAGGCAUGAAAUUUUGGCUGAUUGGCUGCAUGUCGCUUCGGAUUUGGAUGAGAGGAAGCCACCCAGAAAAUGGCCAGAAGGAAGCACCAUAUGUGCAGUGCUUUGGCCACAUAAAAGGAAGGAGCCCACCGUCGGCAUCUCCCAUGGCCGAGAAGACCGAGGACCCAGCGCCCUCAAGUACGAUGGAGUUCUUUCUGUUGCGACUUAUGGACAAGGACUCGGCGGAUGAUUCCUCCUUGACUUUCUACCAGCUGCGCCCUGACUGCGUUCACAGCGUCCCCACGCCGUGUUCAAGACCAAGUUCUAACCCACAUAUCCAAUCUCCCUCCAUGGAUCUCGCCUCUCAUUGA